This is a long non-coding RNA of Rosa rugosa (rugosa rose), 1001 nucleotides long. RefSeq lists it as uncharacterized. NCBI's taxonomy places the organism in Eukaryota, Viridiplantae, Streptophyta, Magnoliopsida, Rosales, Rosaceae. The record is from RefSeq and is a predicted model, not a curated record. The transcript is spliced from 3 exons.
CACUUUUUAUCAGUGUUACUAAAACACAGAAUUCGACUCUCGUUCUCUAAAACCCAGUCCUCUAACCUCUCUCUCAGCCCCCUACUCCCCCCUUGAUACAAAACUGAAAACCUAGCGACCAGGCCUCGACGCACGCAGAUCUCUGUCCAAAUUCCCGAUCUCGAACUCCUACCCUAGGCUCACCUCCCCAUCGUCUCAGCCUCACCACGCGAACGGCUAUCUUCUCACUCGUGUUUGCCAAGGCGGCUUCUACCCAUGUUUGCAGAGAAAGCCAGCCAUGGUCGCCGAAACACCACCGUCGAAGCUCCAAUCCCAGAUCGAUAUCACUGAGGCGCGUGGAGUAAAUCACUGUUCUCUUAUAAUGCAAAAAGGCACGCACUCGUCAUCCUCUCUCUGUGUCGCCGGUAACGGAAUUCAAAAACACCCUCCUAUUAGUGUAUACAUAUCUCUCUCCGUCCCCAAAUUCUCUUUCUGGUUUUCGAUUCGAUUCGAUUCUUCUGCGCCUUUUCUGGUUCGUGUUCGCUUUUUCGGUGCUGGUCGCUCUCAAAUUCUUAGGUCUGAAUUGAAUUGAUGCUCCUAUCGUUUUGGGUGAUGGAUAAUGUGUUUCUUCGGUUUGGCAUGUAGCUCAUGUUUUGCAAGGUGGAGAUUAAUGCUUUUUCUUUGUUAAAUUAUUAAAUUUUUUGAUGAAAUUCUGGUUCUUGGAGCUGGUUUUCAGUUCAUAUGUGGCUGUUUCUUUUGGGUUGAGAAUAGAGGGUACAAUAUAGGGUAUAGGUACCACCUCCAGGAAAAGGAUCAUUGUAUAGUAGGCAUUUGCUCAUGGGGAGUGGAUCUGAUCUGGGCUUGGGGCCGGGACUGGAGUAUACAUUCCUAAUAUUUGCUUCUCCAGUUGGUAAUUAUCACAAGGGAAGGGCAGCCCUCAAUUUGUAUGUUGAGCAUAAAAUCCACACAGCUAUUCCUCGUGGAACUAGAGGUGUCAAGUCUGUCACCAAUUACUCACCUGU